UGAUUACAAGGGGAAUAAAUAACACGAUUAACUAAUGCAUAACAGAACUAAAUAAAGUUGCCUCUACAAAAUAAUUCAUAGUUUGAAUGCACAUAAAAUGUGAGAUGACUGCCCUUACAAAGAUGUUCAUGACAGAAAGUAUUCUUGUUUUCAUAACAUUAUUUCUAGUAAAAUUAGUGAUACAAUUAAAAUCUAAAAUUUUGACUUAAUUUCUAGUCUUAACAAGUGGCUAUGCUCCUUAUUUAAAUGUCUUCAUAG
This is a non-coding RNA of Biomphalaria pfeifferi, 258 nucleotides long. NCBI's taxonomy places the organism in Eukaryota, Metazoa, Mollusca, Gastropoda, Planorbidae. The record is from the annotation of a GenBank genome assembly.